Molecule: microRNA precursor, 205 nt
Filed under: Oryza brachyantha (malo sina)
Lineage: Eukaryota; Viridiplantae; Streptophyta; Magnoliopsida; Poales; Poaceae
Description: MIR812 microRNA precursor family
Rfam family: MIR812 microRNA precursor family
Source: Rfam by way of RNAcentral
AAUAAACCAAUUUUUUACUUUUUACAUUCAAUUUUUGACUUUUCGUCAUUUUUAAAAAAAUUUUGCGAUUGAUAUUUUUGUUUUUAUUAGAUGAUAAUCAUGAAUAGUACUUUACGUGCACUAAUUUUUUUCUAAUUUCUUGAAAAUUUUUCAAAUAAGACGGAUGGUCAAACGUUAGACACGGAAACCAAAGAAUUCAUUUUUU